AAUCUUGGACAAUGGGGGCAACCCUGAUCCAGCCAUGCCGCGUGAGCGAUGAAGGCCUUAGGGUUGUAAAGCUCUUUCAGCUGGGAAGAUAAUGACGGUACCAGCAGAAGAAGCCCCGGCUAACUCCGUGCCAGCAGCCGCGGUAAUACGGAGGGGGCUAGCGUUGUUCGGAAUUACUGGGCGUAAAGCGCGCGUAGGCGGGCAUUUAAGUCGGGGGUGAAAUCCCGGGGCUCAACCCCGGAACUGCCUUCGAUACUGGGUGCCUGGAGGUCGAGAGAGGUGAGUGGAAUGGCGAGUGUAGAGGUGAAAUUCGUAGAUAUUCGCCGGAACACCAGUGGCGAAGGCGGCUCACUGGCUCGAACCUGACGCUGAGGUGCGAAAGCGUGGGGAGC
Molecule: ribosomal RNA, 392 nt
Filed under: uncultured bacterium
Lineage: Bacteria
Description: bacterial SSU rRNA
Rfam family: Bacterial small subunit ribosomal RNA
Source: RNAcentral